AAUCAACGCUGGCGGCGUGCCUAACACAUGCAAGUCGAACGAGAAGGUGACUUCGGUCACUGGAUAGUGGCGUCCGGGUGAGUAACACGUAGGUAAUCUACCUUCGGGUGGGGAAUAACGUCUCGAAAGAGACGCUAAUACCGCAUAAUGCAGCGGCACCUAAUGGUGAUUAGUUGUUAAAGCGGGGGAGUCUUCGGACCUCGCGCCUGAAGAGGAGCCUGCGGCAGAUUAGCUAGUUGGUGAGGUAAUGGCUCACCAAGGCUUCGAUCUGUAGCUGGUCUGAGAGGACGGCCAGCCACACUGGCACUGACACACGGGCCAGACUCCUACGGGAGGCAGCAGUGGGGAAUUUUGGGCAAUGGGCGAAAGCCUGACCCAGCAACGCCGCGUGAAGGAGGAAAUCCUUCGGGAUGUAAACUUCGCAAGAACGGGAAGAAUAAGUAGGGGACAAUACCCCUAUGAUGACGGUACCGUUAGUAAGC
RNAcentral lists this ribosomal RNA (482 nucleotides) under uncultured bacterium. Its description in RNAcentral is "bacterial SSU rRNA". It matches the Rfam family "Bacterial small subunit ribosomal RNA", at positions 32 to 491 of the family's 1533-position model. The record is from RNAcentral.